AGUGAAGCGGGAUGAGCUCAAAUUUAAAAUCUGGCUGGUUUACUAGUCCGAAUUGUAGUUUAAAGAAGCGUUUUCGGUGGCAGCCUGGGUAUAAAUCCUUUGGAAUAGGGUAUCAUAGAGGGUGAGAAUCCCGUCUUUGACUCAGUGCAUGCUACUAUGUGAUACGUUUUCAAAGAGUCGAGUUGUUUGGGAAUGCAGCUCAAAAUGGGUGGUAAAUUUCAUCUAAAGCUAAAUAUUGGCGAGAGACCGAUAGCGAACAAGUACCGUGAGGGAAAGAUGAAAAGAACUUUGAAAAGAGAGUUAAAUAGUGCGUGAAAUUGUUGAAAGGGAAACGUUUGACACCAGUCAUGCGGGUGGAAAAUCAGUCUUUUGGGGUAGGGAGUGGUGGGAGUUCAGACCGCAAGGCUGGCUUUUAUUUCAUCUCUGCCCUAAAGGAUGCACUUUUUCAUUUGCAGGUCAACAUCAGUUUCUUCUGCUGGACAAAACUCUGAGAGAAGGUAGCAGCUUUGGCUGUGUUAUAGCUCUGGAGCGAUACAGUGGAGGGGACUGAGGUUUUCGCAGUGUGUGCUCUCGGGCAAGGUUGACUGGGUGCUAUGUGAUCGUUCGGUGUACAAUGCAUGCAUUUUGCGCUGUGUCUUUUGCAUACUCGCCUGAAUCGACUCUUCCACGCUUAGGAUGUUGACUUAAUGGUUUUAAACGACCCGUCUUGAAACACGGACCAAGGAGUCUAACAUAUAUGCAAGUGUUUGGGUGGCAAACCCAUACGCGUAAUGAAAGUGAACGUAGGUGCGAUCCGCAAGGUGCAGCAUCGACCGAUCUUGAUAUUUUUGGAUAGAUUUGAGUAAGAGCAUAUAUGCUGGGACCCGAAAGAUGGUGAACUAUGCCUGAAUAGGGUGAAGCCAGAGGAAACUCUGGUGGAGGCUCGUAGCGAUUCUGACGUGCAAAUCGAUCGUCAAAUUUGGGUAUAGGGGCGAAAGAC
This 979-nucleotide ribosomal RNA is filed under the name Mortierella paraensis. RNAcentral's name for it is "eukaryotic LSU rRNA". It matches the Rfam family "Eukaryotic large subunit ribosomal RNA", at positions 92 to 931 of the family's 3401-position model. Lineage: Eukaryota; Fungi; Mortierellomycota; Mortierellomycetes; Mortierellales; Mortierellaceae. The record is from RNAcentral.